GAGUAUCCUCUGGAUUCUGUUGGACCACUCACUCUCAUUGAUAUCUGUUUGUUCCUUCACCAGUCAUUCAGGCCACCCUGGGUUCUACCCCCCUGGAAAGACUUCCUUUGGCCAGUGUCAAUCAGUGCCAAAACCAAGAGGAAAACUGAGGAGGAUUUCAUUAUAGAAGACUAUACCACCUGGACACAAGGAUACAAAAGCAGAGUUGCUGAAGCCAUCUUGGAGUAUCAGGUCUCCCUGAUUCUUCUGAAUCCUCCCAGAGAGCCACCACAGAUCUGGGCAUUCUGAUCAACAUUCAGUGGCAAGCCUGGAGGGGCAAUGCUUGCCUCCCAUCGUAUGGUAGGCCAGAUAUGUUCCUGGCCCAUCAGAAGCCUUCUUCUGGAUGCAGUCUAUAAGCCACUGUGACGGAUGAGAAGAGCCCAGGAUGGAGAUGAAAGUCUGGAACCAGAAUCUGAGCCCUUAUUUUUCUGACUCACUGUUUUACCUUGGAAGAAUCACUGAAGUUUUCUGCAUCUCUGUUUCCUCAUAUGUUUAAAAAAG
RNAcentral lists this long non-coding RNA (540 nucleotides) under Rhinopithecus bieti (black snub-nosed monkey). RNAcentral describes it as "lncRNA (ENSRBIG00000046534.1)". Lineage: Eukaryota; Metazoa; Chordata; Mammalia; Primates; Cercopithecidae. The record is from RNAcentral.